AUUCUUGGUCAUUCCAUUUUUCCAAUAUCAUUAUUGUGACUAUUAUUGCUACUGUUCCUCACACCCCCAACCGGCACUUUCAGACACCGCCUAACACAAGCCUGGGUUUGUCCAAGGUUUCUCCUUAAAAAUAAGUUUUUUCCUUAC
This is a long non-coding RNA of Etheostoma cragini (Arkansas darter), 147 nucleotides long. RefSeq lists it as uncharacterized. The transcript has 3 exons. NCBI's taxonomy places the organism in Eukaryota, Metazoa, Chordata, Actinopteri, Perciformes, Percidae. The record is from RefSeq and is a predicted model, not a curated record.